AUGGCUGUGCAGGCCCAGUACCCCUCCAAUCUCCUCUUCCACGAUAGAGGUGACCCGGAGAGGGCGGACAUGGACCUGCCCAAGCAGCAGCAGCAUCAGCAUCAGCAGCAGCUCGCCGGGCUCUCGCCGGCGGUCUAUUUUGCCAGUGGCGGAGCGAGUGGCAAUCGGAGGAAGCGCGCCAGGGAGGCCAUGGCGCCGCCGCCGCCGGCCAAGGAGGAGUACAUCAACCUGUUCGCGCAGCAGUCGGCGCCCUUUUUUAACAUGGCGCAGCUCCACAACAGCAGGGUCGCGUCGUCCCCGUCGCCUGCCCCGGUGACGCGCGUGUCCACGGGCCUGCGCCUGGCAUUGGACGAGCAGCAGCAGAGGCAGAUUAAUUCCUUGUGUUACCCGUCCUCGUCGUCGCCGCUCGUUCCCUUCUCCGAUGAAUUCGCCGGACAGAUGAAGCAGCAUGGCGACGAGCUCGACAAAUUCGUCCGGGACCAGGGCGAGCAGCUCCGUCGGGCCAUCGCCGAUCGGAUGCGCCACCACAACCGGGCACUUCUGGUGGCGGCGGACAAGUCGGCCUCGCGCCGGCUCCGGGAGAAGGCGUUGGAGGCGGAGCGCGAGGCGCGGCGCGGCGCCGAGCUGGAGGAGCGGCUCGCGCGGCUACGCAACGAGGCGGCGGCGUGGCAGGCGAAGGCGCUCUCGGAGCAGGCCACCGCGGUCGGCCUUCACGCGCAGCUCCAGCAGGCCGCCUCCGCGGCGCGGGCAUCCUGCGAGGAGCUCGGCGGCGGCGACGCCGGGCCGGCCGAAUCGUGCUCGUCCGCGUACGUAGACCCUCGCCGCGCCGGGCCUGACCGCGCGUGCCACGGCUGCCACCUCGGGGCGGCCACGGUGGUGCUCCUCCCGUGCAGACAUCUGAGCCUCUGCCGCGACUGCUUCGCCGCCGGCGACAUGGACGUGGCCCUGGCGUGCCCGGUGUGCCAUUGCGUGAGGACCGGCAGCGUGGAGGCCAUCCUGUGUUGA
RNAcentral lists this ribosomal RNA (1005 nucleotides) under Triticum aestivum (bread wheat). RNAcentral's name for it is "partial small subunit ribosomal RNA". Lineage: Eukaryota; Viridiplantae; Streptophyta; Magnoliopsida; Poales; Poaceae. The record is from RNAcentral.